GCGCGGUAUAAUUUUUAAUAUGCAACCAUUUGAACAUAAGAACAUUCAAGAUCGUUUGAUAUAUUUUGAUUUGUUUAUCUGAGGAAGGAAGUCAAGGCAUAUUGAAAGUUGGCAAUGAUCAAUUAUAAAUUAGCCUUGAAUCAUAAGAUUGAAGAUUGGACUAAACGUUAUUCUUGAUCAAGAUACCUUUUAUAUGUCUUAAAAUUUAUUAAGCUUAAAUAGUGUAAUAUGAAAAUACUAUUCAAACAAUCUCAGAAAAAUAUAUUAAUAAUACGUUAAUAAAAUAUAUUAAUAAAAAUAGAGUAAUAAUUGUAUUUCUCUUGAUUAUCGAUCACCGAAAACAUUCAUUUUAAAAAUAAUAACAUUUUCAGCGCAGUUCAUUGCAAUGUCCAUGUGUCAUUGUACAUGUUUCUAAAGUUUUUUCUGAAACCAAAUAUUUGUUAAGAAAAGUACUCAGCAAAUCUUUCUCGUGAACAUGGAGCAUGGAUAUGUUCCCGGACAUUUGUUAUAUCAGUUAGAUAGCAUAAUCUUGGCACGAUGGUUCCAGCCAAUUACGGUAGUCAUCCGAAGACCUUGUUGCAAGGGCAACGAAGUGGAAAUGUGUACUCCGGAAGUGUCUAAACAGGCAACUUAAUUUUCAUUUCUGGUUUAAAUUAUAUUAGAUUAACUUGUAGAAUAGGCGACGCACAUACAAAAUAUAUUAGAAGAUUGAAGAGAAAGCAAUAACGAAAAUAACGAGAAAGACACGAAAAUUUUUAUUGUUACAUUUAUUUAUAUUGAUAAUUUAAUAUUUCACGUUGAUGAAAAUGUCUCUUAAAGUCUGAUAUAAUUCUUAAAAUAUUUGUUAUACAAAAUAUAAUAUGAAAAUGUGUAAAUAUAAUUCUCAAAUUUUAUAUAAUCGAUCAUAAUAGGUUUAAUGAAAUUAGCUGAUUAUGAACUGAACUGAAAACAGUAUUUUAUAUACAACGAUUCAAUAUUAGUUCAAAAUUUUGAAACAAUCUAAAGCAUCCAUGUCAGAAACAUUUUGUCUUCCGAAACAUAUAGGUAUACUAUAAUAGCGAAUUAACAGGAAACAUCUAUCAUUAAUUCGAAAGUAAAAAAUUUUGAUAAAUGAGGUCGUUAUCGUUUUUCUAUAUUGUCACUAUAUUGUGACAUGAUGUGUCGAUAAAUGACUAUACUGGAAUCAUUCAAGCUGUUGUACAUCGGAAAAGUGAUUUGUCCGUUUGCGAUACAGAAUCACUUUUUUCUUCAUAUUUCUUCUUUUAUUCGUAUUUCUUUCGCAUUCCUUCGUCGUCGCUAAACGGUUAAAAAAA
Ooceraea biroi (clonal raider ant) is the source of this 1313-nucleotide long non-coding RNA. RefSeq lists it as uncharacterized. The record is from RefSeq and is a predicted model, not a curated record. Lineage: Eukaryota; Metazoa; Arthropoda; Insecta; Hymenoptera; Formicidae.